UGCGGGGUAAAGUAGCGGCUAACUUACUGGUCUCAUAAGCCAGACUCCAUUUGGAGACGGAUGUUCGAGUCAUCCCCCCGCUUCCA
Molecule: transfer RNA, 86 nt
Filed under: Bacteroidota bacterium
Lineage: Bacteria; Pseudomonadati; Bacteroidota
Description: Bacteroidetes bacterium tRNA-Met
Rfam family: tRNA
About the family: Transfer RNA (tRNA) molecules are approximately 80 nucleotides in length. Their secondary structure includes four short double-helical elements and three loops (D, anti-codon, and T loops). Further hydrogen bonds mediate the characteristic L-shaped molecular structure. tRNAs have two regions of fundamental functional importance: the anti-codon, which is responsible for specific mRNA codon recognition, and the 3' end, to which the tRNAs corresponding amino acid is attached (by aminoacyl-tRNA synthetases). tRNAs cope with the degeneracy of the genetic code in two manners: having more than one tRNA (with a specific anti-codon) for a particular amino acid; and 'wobble' base-pairing, i.e. permitting non-standard base-pairing at the 3rd anti-codon position.
Source: RNAcentral